Molecule: ribosomal RNA, 779 nt
Filed under: uncultured bacterium
Lineage: Bacteria
Description: bacterial SSU rRNA
Rfam family: Bacterial small subunit ribosomal RNA
Source: RNAcentral
AGAGUUUGAUCAUGGCUCAGGACGAACGCUGGCGGCGUGCUUAACACAUGCAAGUCGAACGGAAAGUGCCCAGCUUGCUGGGUGACUCGAGUGGCGAACGGGUGAGUAACACGUGGGUGAUCUGCCCUGCACUUUGGGAUAAGCCUGGGAAACUGGGUCUAAUACCGAAUAUUCCUUGCUGGUCGCAUGGCCUGGUGGGGGAAAGCUUUUGCGGUGUGGGAUGGGCCCGCGGCCUAUCAGCUUGUUGGUAGGGUGAUGGCCUACCAAGGCGACGACGGGUAGCCGGCCUGAGAGGGUGUCCGGCCACACUGGGACUGAGAUACGGCCCAGACUCCUACGGGAGGCAGCAGUGGGGAAUAUUGCACAAUGGGCGCAAGCCUGAUGCAGCGACGCCGCGUGAGGGAUGACGGCCUUCGGGUUGUAAACCUCUUUCAACGCCGACGAAGCGUAAGUGACGGUAGGCGUAGAAGAAGCACCGGCCAACUACGUGCCAGCAGCCGCGGUAAUACGUAGGGUGCGAGCGUUGUCCGGAAUUACUGGGCGUAAAGAGCUCGUAGGUGGUUUGUCGCGUUGUUCGUGAAAACCGGGGGCUUAACCCUCGGCGUGCGGGCGAUACGGGCAGACUGGAGUACUGCAGGGGAGACUGGAAUUCCUGGUGUAGCGGUGGAAUGCGCAGAUAUCAGGAGGAACACCGGUGGCGAAGGCGGGUCUCUGGGCAGUAACUGACGCUGAGGAGCGAAAGCGUGGGGAGCGAACAGGAUUAGAUACCCUAGUAGUCC